GAUGAACGCUGGCGGCGUGCCUAACACAUGCAAGUCGAACGGAACUUCUUCGACAGAAUUCUUCGGAAGGAAGUUGAUUAAGUUUAGUGGCGGACGGGUGAGUAACGCGUGAGUAACCUGCCUUUGAGAGGGGAAUAACUUCCCGAAAGGGAUGCUAAUACCGCAUGACGCAUAUUUAUCGCAUGGUAGAUAUGCCAAAGAUUUAUCGCUCAAAGAUGGACUCGCGUCCGAUUAGCCAGUUGGCGGGGUAACGGCCCACCAAAGCGACGAUCGGUAGCCGGACUGAGAGGUUGAACGGCCACAUUGGGACUGAGACACGGCCCAGACUCCUACGGGAGGCAGCAGUGGGGGAUAUUGCGCAAUGGGGGAAACCCUGACGCAGCAACGCCGCGUGAAGGAUGAAGGUUUUCGGAUUGUAAACUUCUUUUAUUUAGGACGAACAAUGACGGUACUAAAUGAAUAAGCUCCGGC
RNAcentral lists this ribosomal RNA (471 nucleotides) under uncultured bacterium. RNAcentral's name for it is "bacterial SSU rRNA". It matches the Rfam family "Bacterial small subunit ribosomal RNA", at positions 28 to 497 of the family's 1533-position model. The record is from RNAcentral.